AUAGGAGAGUGAUACGAGUUGGAUUUGGGUUGCCCUGAAAUUGCAGGACUCUUUCCCUUGAGCUCUCGAAGCUCCUUGGAUAUCCUUGAUUCGAACCGAUGAUGCGUACUUAAGUUUGUCUUCCUCAAAUGUGGGUUAGACUUGCUUGUCGUACAUCGUAUGGUGGUCCGGCUCCUUGAAGCCUCUAGGUUGGUUAUCCUUUUGUCCAACUUCAACAUAAGAGCAUGCAUGUGCGCAAGCCUUUCCUGUGUUGUCGGAGUUGGGUUCACACCCCCAUUUAGUGGGAGUGGUGAGGACACCUCAUGUGUAGGUGAUGGUGCAUUAGAGGUUGGUACAGUACGAGGACCAACCCCUCUGCCAGAAGCUCCUACCUCAGUAGCAGUGGCGA
This 388-nucleotide long non-coding RNA is filed under the name Zostera marina. Its description in RNAcentral is "long non-coding RNA (ZMAR_LNC003510)". Lineage: Eukaryota; Viridiplantae; Streptophyta; Magnoliopsida; Alismatales; Zosteraceae. The record is from RNAcentral.